UACGAAGGGGGCUAGCGUUGUUCGGAUUUACUGGGCGUAAAGCGCACGUAGGCGGAUCGAUCAGUCAGGGGUGAAAUCCCAGAGCUCAACUCAGGAACUGCCUUUGAUACUGUCGAUCUGGAGUAUGGAAGAGGUGAGUGGAAUUCCGAGUGUAGAGGUGAAAUUCGUAGAUAUUCGGAGGAACACCAGUGGCGAAGGCGGCUCACUGGUCCAUUACUGACGCUGAGGUGCGAAAGCGUGGGAGCAAACAGG
Molecule: ribosomal RNA, 252 nt
Filed under: uncultured bacterium
Lineage: Bacteria
Description: partial 16S ribosomal RNA
Rfam family: Bacterial small subunit ribosomal RNA
Source: RNAcentral